This 509-nucleotide ribosomal RNA is filed under the name Cyrtonus puncticeps. RNAcentral's name for it is "partial 16S ribosomal RNA". Lineage: Eukaryota; Metazoa; Arthropoda; Insecta; Coleoptera; Chrysomelidae. The record is from RNAcentral.
UGUAAAAUUUUAAAGGUCGAACAGACCCAAUAUUUUAGCUCCUACACCAAAAAUUUAUUUUAAUCCAACAUCGAGGUCGCAAUCUUUUUUUUAAAUAUGAACUUUCUAAAAAAAUUACGCUGUUAUCCCUAAGGUAAUUUUAUCUUAUAAUCAAAAUUAUUGGAUCAAUUAUUCAUAAAUUAAUGAUAAAAAAUAAAAAAAGUUAAUUAAAUUUUUCAAUCGCCCCAACUAAAUUAUAUUAAUCAAAUAAUAAAUAAAUACUUAAACAAUAUUUAAACAAAAUAAUUAAACUCUAUAGGGUCUUCUCGUCUUUUAAUAAUAUUUAAGCUUUUUAACUUAAAAAUAAAAUUCUACUUAAAUUUGAUAGAGACAGUUACUUUCUUAUUCAACCCUUCAUUCCAGUUCUUAAUUAAAAAACUAAUGAUUAUGCUACCUUAGCACGGUCAAAAUACCACGGCCAUUUAAAAUCUCAGUGGGCAGGUCAGACCUUAAAUUAUAAACAAAAGGAC